AGGGGUAUAGCUCAAUUUGGCAGAGCAUCGGUCUCCAAAACCGAAGGUUUGAGGUUCGAGUCCUCAUGCCCCUG
This 74-nucleotide transfer RNA is filed under the name Anaerolineae bacterium. Its description in RNAcentral is "tRNA-Trp". It matches the Rfam family "tRNA". From Rfam's summary of the family: Transfer RNA (tRNA) molecules are approximately 80 nucleotides in length. Their secondary structure includes four short double-helical elements and three loops (D, anti-codon, and T loops). Further hydrogen bonds mediate the characteristic L-shaped molecular structure. tRNAs have two regions of fundamental functional importance: the anti-codon, which is responsible for specific mRNA codon recognition, and the 3' end, to which the tRNAs corresponding amino acid is attached (by aminoacyl-tRNA synthetases). tRNAs cope with the degeneracy of the genetic code in two manners: having more than one tRNA (with a specific anti-codon) for a particular amino acid; and 'wobble' base-pairing, i.e. permitting non-standard base-pairing at the 3rd anti-codon position. Lineage: Bacteria; Bacillati; Chloroflexota; Anaerolineae. The record is from RNAcentral.